Molecule: non-coding RNA, 125 nt
Organism: Podarcis lilfordi (Lilford's wall lizard)
Lineage: Eukaryota; Metazoa; Chordata; Lepidosauria; Squamata; Lacertidae
Source: the annotation of a GenBank genome assembly
AGUAUGUGUGUGUGUGUGUGUGUGUGUGUGUGUGUGUCUUUCUCUCUCCUCCUCCCUCUCUCUACACCCUCCUGGGUGCACGCGGGUGUGCACAUACACACACACACGCACACACGCCACAUACA